ACAGCUGUUAAAGCUACGGCACUUAAAGAUGGGCGUGCGGCUGAUUAGGUAGUUGGCGGGGUAACGGCCCACCAAGCCGACGAUCAGUAACUGGUGUGAGAGCACGACCAGUCACACGGGCACUGAGACACGGGCCCGACUCCUACGGGAGGCAGCAGUAAGGAAUAUUGGUCAAUGGACGCAAGUCUGAACCAGCCAUGCCGCGUGGAGGAUGAAGGCCCUCUGGGUUGUAAACUUCUUUUAUUGGGGAAGAAACCCAUCUUUUCUAAGGUGGUUGACGGUACCCGAUGAAUAAGCACCGGCUAGCUCCGUGCCAGCAGCCGCGGUAAUACGGAGGGUGCAAGCGUUAUCCGGAUUCACUGGGUUUAAAGGG
Molecule: ribosomal RNA, 373 nt
Filed under: uncultured bacterium
Lineage: Bacteria
Description: bacterial SSU rRNA
Rfam family: Bacterial small subunit ribosomal RNA
Source: RNAcentral